ACUGUUAGGCUUGGGACCGGGAGAGGUGGGAGGUACUCCAGGGGUAGGGGUGAAAUCUCGUAAUCCUUGGGGGACCACCGAUGGCGAAGGCAUCCCACCAGAACGGGUCCGACGGUGAGGGACGAAAGCUGGGGGCACGAACCGGAUUAGAUACCCGGGUAGUCCCAGCUGUAAACGAUGCUCGCUAGGUGUCAGGUGCGGUGCGACCGCAU
RNAcentral lists this ribosomal RNA (212 nucleotides) under uncultured Candidatus Methanoperedens sp. RNAcentral describes it as "partial 16S ribosomal RNA". It matches the Rfam family "Archaeal small subunit ribosomal RNA", at positions 583 to 794 of the family's 1478-position model. Lineage: Archaea; Methanobacteriati; Methanobacteriota; Methanomicrobia; Methanosarcinales; Candidatus Methanoperedentaceae. The record is from RNAcentral.